GAAAACUGCUUAUCGGCGGACUGGGCUGUAUUCGUCUUUCGCUGGAGGAACUGCUCGGUGGUCAGCUCUGCGUGUCCGACUAUUUGGUGGGUUUUCACUGACUCCUUUACAUCAAUGUGGAAAUGUUUCACAUUGUCAUAUUAGCUUCCACAAAUGAAGUGGAAGUUGUUCCAGCAAAUUGGUUUAAAAAAAACACCUGUCUGUGGCCACCAUACAAAUGGGAUGAUGUUGUAAAAGCAGUAAGAUCACAGGAACAACCUGGAACACGUUGGAUUCCGUACAAAGUACGCGUUUUAUUAGGCAAAGGAAGAGGUGUCACAUUCAAGAUGAUGCGGAUAGUGAAGAUGAGACGUCGGGAGCAUCUACUUUACCUAGACCUCCAGAAAUGGCCACUGCAAAGAAGCUGUCACCCUCAAUCCUAC
Long non-coding RNA from Salarias fasciatus (jewelled blenny), 422 nucleotides. RefSeq lists it as uncharacterized. The record is from RefSeq and is a predicted model, not a curated record. NCBI's taxonomy places the organism in Eukaryota, Metazoa, Chordata, Actinopteri, Blenniiformes, Blenniidae. The transcript is spliced from 4 exons.